Long non-coding RNA from Eubalaena glacialis (North Atlantic right whale), 966 nucleotides. RefSeq lists it as uncharacterized. Lineage: Eukaryota; Metazoa; Chordata; Mammalia; Artiodactyla; Balaenidae. The record is from RefSeq and is a predicted model, not a curated record. The transcript is spliced from 4 exons.
CCCGCGCCGCACAGCCGGGCGCGGGGGCGGGCGGCGCAGGAGGUCAGGGGGCCGCGGCGGCGUCCCGAGCCUCGCAACCGCGCGCCGAAUGCAGUGUACUUUUGCAAAAGUUGUUUCAUUAUUAAAUGUGCUCCUGGUAGGAAAAUCGGAAGUGUAGACACAGACCUCCCACGGCCACUCCCCGCAGAGACGGGCGCUGCUGCGUGGGGCCCCGGUUCAGCCCUCUGUCGCCUACACUGGGGUCUGUGAAUCGCUUGCACCCUCUGAGAGCCCAGGCGCCGUCCGCUGCCCCCCUCUGGAGCCCCUUUCAGUUCACUGUGCAGGGCAGCGGGAGAAUCAACCACCGCUCCGGGAUGAUGUAGAAGCAGAGGCCUGGGAAACUACCAGGCCAACAUCACGCCUGCCCGAUGCCCACUCAGCACUGGCCACGAGGGGCCCACAGUCUGCCGGCGAGGAUGUUCUCCUUCUCUGGCUGGGAGUCUCCAGCCUCUUCAGGAAAGAAGCCGGAGAGAUCAAGAAACAGAACAUUCAGGCUCCCCAAAUGUCUCUCGUGCCCUCAUCCAGGAGCUACCAAUCCCCCCACUAUCCUGACUUCUAAUAGCAGGGGUGCCAGAAUGCGGUGGAAGUAACAGAGCGAGGUUCUCCGGGGAGCCCUGACAUCUCUAGAAAAAUCUGACUGCCCUGAGGCUGCCAUGCUGGGAGGAAGCCCAGGCCACAUGAAGAGGCCACGUGUACAUGUUGGGUUCUGUCCAACAGACGCAGCUGAGGCCCCAGCUGCUAUUAGCAUCAACUGCCAGAUAUGCGAGUGAAGAUGCCGCAGGAUGAUUCCAGACUCCAGUCCUGAGUCUUCCCAGCUACGGCUCCAGACACUGUGGAGCAGAGACAAGCUGUCCGGAUGCCCUGCCUGAAAUCCCGGCCUGUAGAAUUCAAUCCAUGAACACAAUAAAAUGAUUGCUUUAGACCACA